Molecule: long non-coding RNA, 1206 nt
Filed under: Marmota monax (woodchuck)
Lineage: Eukaryota; Metazoa; Chordata; Mammalia; Rodentia; Sciuridae
Source: RNAcentral
AUGAUAUAAUAUAUAUAAUAUUAUUUCAUACAUUAUAUAUUAAAUUAUAUAUCAUACAUUAUAUAUGAAAUAAUCAUUGUUAUUUCAUACAGUUCAUUGUCACAUGGAACUAAAAUAAUGCAACAUUAGCAAUCAUACAUAACGUGUGCUAAAUUUCUGGUGUUAUUUACAAAAAAAAAAGGCAAAGCUCUUAACUCUGACUAUUGGUUGAUAAGUGUGCAUGUUGAAAUUUCUUUUUUUAAUUUUUUUUUUGUAGUUGUAGAUGGAUAGCAUGCCUUUAUUUUAUUUAUUUUUGUAUGUAGUGCUAAGGAUCGAACCCAGUGCCUCACACAUGCUGGCAAGUCCUCUGCCACUGAGCCACAGCCCCAGACCACAAGUUGAAAUUUCUCAGGUAACCAUUUGAGAACUACAGGAGAGCAUAUCACUUCCAAGUUAAAAGGAGGAGAAAAGUAGAAUCCAAUCAUCAUCAUCAUCAUCAUCAUCAUCAUCCAAGGGAAGGAAAGGAGAGGAAAAGAAAUAUUUAAAAGGACAUAUAGAAAGCACCAUAUAAAAUGGUAGACAAAUACAUCUGAAAAUUACAAAAUAAGUAAAUGGACUAAAUGUUCCAGUUAAAUAAAACCAAGAUUAUCUGAACAUAGUUUUAAAUCCUUAAUAGCUUUAUUGAUGUCCAAUUUACACAUCAUUAAUUCACCCACUUUAAGAAUACAGUUGAAGGAGUUUUAGUAAAUUUAUAGAGUCAUCCAAACAUCACCAUAAUCCAGUAUUGGAAUACAUUCAUCACUCCAAAAAAUUCCUUUGUACCCAUUUGUAAUCAAUCCCCAUUCACGUCUCCAUCUCUUAACAAACAAUGAUCCAGCUACAGUUUUGUCUUUUCUGGACAAUUCAUAUAAAUGAAAUCAUAUAAUAGAUAGUCAUAGGUAUCUGGCUUCUUUUUUUCUUUUUUUAUUGAUUUAUUUAUAUAUGACAGUGGAAUGCAUUACAAUGCAUAUUACAUAUAUAAAACACAUUUUUUCAUCUCUGGUUGUAUAUAAAGUAUAUUCACACCAAUUCGUGUCUUCAUACUUGUACUUUGGAUAAUGAUGUUCAUCAUAUUCCACCAUCAUUUCUAAUUCCCUGCCCCCUCCCUUCCCCUUCCACCCCUUUGCCCUAUCUAGAGUUCAUCUAUUCCUCCCAUGCUCCCCGUCCCUACCACACUAUGAAUCCGUC